GCAAUGCCGCGUGUGUGAAGAAGGCCUCUCGGGUUGUAAAGCACUUUUGUCUGGAAAGAAAUCCUUGGCUCUAAUACAGUCGGGGGAUGACGGUACCGGAAGAAUAAGCACCGGCUAACUACGUGCCAGCAGCCGCGGUAAUACGUAGGGUGCGAGCGUUAAUCGGAAUUACUGGGCGUAAAGCGUGCGCAGGCGGUUUGCUAAGACCGAUGUGAAAUCCCCGGGCUCAACCUGGGAACUGCAUUGGUGACUGGCAGGCUAGAGUAUGGCAGAGGGGGGUAGAAUUCCACGUGUAGCAGUGAAAUGCGUAGAGAUGUGGAGGAAUACCGAUGGCGAAGGCAGCCCCCUGGGCCAAUACUGACGCUCAUGCACGAAAGCGUGGGGAGCAAACAGGAUUAGAUACCCUGGUAGUCCACGCCCUAAACGAUGUCAACUAGUUGUUGGGGAUUCAUUUCCUUAGUAACGUAGCUAACGCGUGAAGUUGACCGCCUGGGGAGUACGGUCGCAAGAUUAAAACUCAAAGGAAUUGACGGGGACCCGCACAAGCGGUGGAUGAUGUGGAUUAAUUCGAUGCAACGCGAAAAACCUUACCUACCCUUGACAUGGUCGGAAUCCUGCUGA
RNAcentral lists this ribosomal RNA (621 nucleotides) under Burkholderia sp. IBa276. RNAcentral's name for it is "bacterial SSU rRNA". It matches the Rfam family "Bacterial small subunit ribosomal RNA", at positions 391 to 1004 of the family's 1533-position model. Lineage: Bacteria; Pseudomonadati; Pseudomonadota; Betaproteobacteria; Burkholderiales; Burkholderiaceae. The record is from RNAcentral.